ACUGAACAGUGGGAAGAGUCUAACCAGUUCCCGAGGCUGGAUGUCUGAGAUCAAGUUGCCGGCAGGGCCAUGUUACCUCUGAAGCCACUAGGGAGGGAUUGUUCCAGGCACCUCACCCAGCUUCUGGUAGCGCCUUGGUUUGUGGCAGCAUAAUUCUUAUCUUCACAUAGCAGUCUCCCUGUGUGCCUGUCUGUGUCCAGAUUUCCUCAUUUUAAGGACACCAGUUGUAUUGGAUCAGCAACAGGACCUGAGGACGUGGCCUUAAAGGGGUACACCUCGAGGCAACAACUUAGAAGUUAAGAAAGUGGGCUCGGGACCUGGAGUGCCUGGGUUCUAAGCUCAACUCUGGCACUUAUUUAACAUGUGUCCAGAGGCAGAUCGGCUCUCUCAGGGAUGGAAGACGCUACCUCUGAGAUCGUCAACACAUGGGGCCUCUGUGCUCAUGCCAGAAGUCCAGCCGUGUUGGGAACUGCCACGGGGCAGCCCACUGAGGGAGAGCAUUUUGCGACGAAGGGCCAGCUGCCUUAUUCUGGGGCAAUCGCUGGAAGAGAGCCAGCAAAUAGCGGUGGCUUUGUUGACCUUCUUCAGGAGUCCUAUGGGAAUCUGGCCAUUAUUUGGGGAGAAUGCAAAGGAGCUGGAAAAGGGGACAGGAAGAAGAGGAGGAAGGGAAAUGAAGACUACCAUGAAAACAAUAGAAUUGAAAUGUGGAUUUUUACCACCACUGCAAAUAAAAUA
Long non-coding RNA from Molossus molossus (Pallas's mastiff bat), 735 nucleotides. RefSeq lists it as uncharacterized. The transcript has 4 exons. NCBI's taxonomy places the organism in Eukaryota, Metazoa, Chordata, Mammalia, Chiroptera, Molossidae. The record is from RefSeq and is a predicted model, not a curated record.